This 253-nucleotide ribosomal RNA is filed under the name uncultured bacterium. RNAcentral's name for it is "partial 16S ribosomal RNA". It matches the Rfam family "Bacterial small subunit ribosomal RNA", at positions 524 to 776 of the family's 1533-position model. The record is from RNAcentral.
GACAGAGGGUGCAAACGUUGUUCGGAAUUACUGGGCGUAAAGGGCGCGUAGGCGGUUCUGUAAGUCCCGCGUGAAAUCCCCCGGCUCAACUGGGGAACUGCGUGGGAAACUGUGGGGCUAGAGUUCAGGAGAGGGAAGCGGAAUUCCGGGUGUAGCGGUGAAAUGCGUAGAUAUCCGGAGGAACACCGGUGGCGAAGGCGGCUUCCUGGACUGACACUGACGCUGAGGCGCGAAAGCUAGGGGAGCAAACGGG